CUGACCCAAUGAUGUUAGCACUGGGCUCUGAUGUGCUAUGAAAGAUGUUGGUGCCCCUCUGUUUUGACAUGCAGGGGGCCUGAGGGUCAG
Molecule: small nucleolar RNA, 90 nt
Organism: Bombina bombina (fire-bellied toad)
Lineage: Eukaryota; Metazoa; Chordata; Amphibia; Anura; Bombinatoridae
Source: RefSeq, a predicted model, not a curated record